CGUUGCCCUCGGUCAGUGUAAGCGAGGGGCGAGGAGAAAGAGAGGGAAAUACGCACUGGCGGGGGGGGGGGGAGGCNNNNNNGGCCCCCCGUUUGAAGGAGGAAAGGAAAGCAGGGAGCCGAGAGGGAGGGAGCUGCUGAGGAAGAUGGAGGAUAACGGGGGGUGGCCGAGCGAGCGACGUGGGAAUGGGGGAAGCUCAGCCCUCAUCAGCUCCAUGUUAUAUUUAUUAUUGGACGAGGUGAUUGAGAUCAGAACAACUCGCAGUGUCCUGUACUGUCUUCUUGCAAGCAGUCCUGUCAGGAUGAUUUAGAUCCAGCAGAAAACUAUUGUGAGACAGUUUUGAAAAAAAAAUUCUGCACUGACAGAUGUGAAAUUGAAGUCCUGUAAUAUUCUCUGAGAAACACAAUUGGAAUUGGCAGAGAUGGAGUAUUGUGGCUCAUGGCUUUUCUUGAGCAGCCUAGAUGGUUAGUAGCGAAAGCCGGACAUCCUCUCAAUGAGAUGGAAGAUUCUGCAAGAACCUUAAAGACUUGAGAAGAAUUAUCCUGGGAUCAGAAGACGAAGCUGCUUUCCUCUGUAGUAGUGCCGGGGCUAUAGGCAUAUUUUGCCCUGCUUUCCAGCAUAAGGGGAAUUGGACAGGCAGUUGAAAAAAAACACCUAUUCAGGUUUGCCCCCCUGCACUGAUUCUUCAAGGUGGAGUCUUUGAGGGGGGAGGGGGGUGCCAAGAGACCCCCCCUCCCCCAUGAGAGAGAUUUAGACUGGCCAUCCUACAGCUGUGGAAAAGUGCUACCUGCCAGGUGAGAUUUCUUAUCUUGUGAAGCAAUUAGUUAUAAAUCAGUAAUAUAUUACACCAGCCUUAUUACUGGGGUGUGUGUGUUUUGAUAUUAUGAACUGUGUAUUCCCAGUGGUAUGUCUAUAUGGAAUGACUGAAUUAUAUCUUUCUACACAUAAUAGUAGAAUCUGACAAGAGUUGGCAAAAUGUAGAAUGUAUCCUUCUCCCCAUGGCUCCUAGUUAUUGUCCUUUGGCAUCCCAUUUGUCUUCUAUUACAAUAAGGUAAGUUUAAAUGGUUUUCUAGGUAUCUGUUUGGCUUUCAGGCGAGAGGACAAAGUACAGAAGAAGAGAUACCACAUCUAUAAUGUGGCCUGCCAUGAUUUUAUUUGAGCUGAUUUCUCCUACCUAAACUCAAAGCACCAGUGAUUAUGAUAGUAGUAGUUACACAGUGGGUUAAAUUUCAAAGUACUGUAUAGAAUAAUCUCAGUAACUUUCAUAGGGUUGCUGCAACAUGUAUGGAUUGUAUUGCCACUGCUAUUCA
RNAcentral lists this long non-coding RNA (1310 nucleotides) under Pogona vitticeps (central bearded dragon). RNAcentral describes it as "lncRNA (ENSPVIG00000005888.1)". The record is from RNAcentral. Lineage: Eukaryota; Metazoa; Chordata; Lepidosauria; Squamata; Agamidae.